CUAAUGACGAAGAUAUCAGAAAGAGGAUAAUAGAAACACAUGGUCUUAUGGUGCAUGUUGUGUACGGAAUGAAUAAUCAAGAUGCCACUGUAAGAUUAGCAGCUGUAAGAUGUUUGCACUCACUGUCUAGAUCGGUUCAGCAGUUGAGGACAACAUUUCAGGACCAUGUGGUGUGGCGGCCUUUAAUGCAAUUAUUGAAGGACUCUCCGGACACAGAGUUGCUGACUGUAGGAACUUCAACACUCUGCAA
Papilio polytes (common Mormon) is the source of this 250-nucleotide long non-coding RNA. RefSeq lists it as uncharacterized. The transcript is spliced from 3 exons. Lineage: Eukaryota; Metazoa; Arthropoda; Insecta; Lepidoptera; Papilionidae. The record is from RefSeq and is a predicted model, not a curated record.